Molecule: long non-coding RNA, 497 nt
Filed under: Equus caballus (horse)
Lineage: Eukaryota; Metazoa; Chordata; Mammalia; Perissodactyla; Equidae
Description: lncRNA (ENSECAG00000053685.1)
Source: RNAcentral
AGCGCAGGUGAGGACACAGAGAGAGACCUAAGAGAGCUCAUGUGGCUGCAAUGGUAUUUUCCUAUCUCACCAACCAGAUACAUUACUUGUUAUCUUGUGGGGAGGAGCCAAAAGAAAAAUACUUCUGGCAGAGGAGAAGAGCUUAUAUUACGGGUCAACAGAAAUUCAGGGAGAGGAAGAAAUGGCUCACUGUCAUUGUCUCCAUGGUCUAUGAGGCCAGACUGGGAAAGAACCGCUCUCUAUUUUCCCAUCUCUUCAUCCAGUUGCUGAAGACUGAACUUGCUCUUGCUCCUUUCAGCCCCAGGAAGAACUGAGGAAAAAAAGCAAAAUUUCUCAUCUAUACCUUCAGAAGCAACAUGGCGUGGCAGAAAGGACAUCAGUAUUGGAAUCACACAGAAUGAGUUUCCCACCAGGACAAACAAAUGGUUCUGUAUCAUUGAUGAAGUUAAUGUCUAGGAGGGAGCUUCUCAAAACAUCAGGGCACGUAAUUACCGGAA